Molecule: non-coding RNA, 76 nt
Organism: Myotis davidii
Lineage: Eukaryota; Metazoa; Chordata; Mammalia; Chiroptera; Vespertilionidae
Source: Rfam
GAGACACCCUUAUGGGGCAGGACUUGCUUCAGUGGGGCUUUGGUGCUCACUGAGUCUGCCUCUUCAGUGUGUUGCU